GUGGGGGAUAACUAUUGGAAACGAUAGCUAAUACCGCAUAAUCUCUUCGGAUCAAAGAGGGGGACCUUCGGGCCUCUCGCGUCAGGAUUAGCCUAGGUGGGAUUAGCUAGUUGGUGAGGUAAGUGGCUCACCAAGGCAACGAUCCCUAGCUGGUCUGAGAGGAUGAUCAGCCACACUGGAACUGAGACACGGUCCAGACUCCUACGGGAGGCAGCAGUGGGGAAUAUUGCACAAUGGGCGAAAGCCUGAUGCAGCCAUGCCGCGUGUGUGAAGAAGGCCUUCGGGUUGUAAAGCACUUUCAGUCGUGAGGAAGGGAGUGAAGUUAAUAGCUCCAUUGUUUGACGUUAGCGACAGAAGAAGCACCGGCUAACUCCGUGCCAGCAGCCGCGGUAAUACGGAGGGUGCGAGCGUUAAUCGGAAUUACUGGGCGUAAAGCGCAUGCAGGUGGUUUGUUAAGUCAGAUGUGAAAGCCCGGGGCUCAACCUCGGAAUAGCAUUUGAAACUGGCAGACUAGAGUACUGUAGAGGGGGGUAGAAUUUCAGGUGUAGCGGUGAAA
Molecule: ribosomal RNA, 556 nt
Filed under: uncultured Vibrionaceae bacterium
Lineage: Bacteria; Pseudomonadati; Pseudomonadota; Gammaproteobacteria; Vibrionales; Vibrionaceae
Description: bacterial SSU rRNA
Rfam family: Bacterial small subunit ribosomal RNA
Source: RNAcentral